RNAcentral lists this transfer RNA (69 nucleotides) under Dipodomys ordii (Ord's kangaroo rat). It matches the Rfam family "tRNA". Rfam says of the family: Transfer RNA (tRNA) molecules are approximately 80 nucleotides in length. The record is from Rfam by way of RNAcentral. Lineage: Eukaryota; Metazoa; Chordata; Mammalia; Rodentia; Heteromyidae.
GGAAAUGUGGCUCAGUAGUAGAGUGCUUGCCUCGCAUGCAUGAGGCCCUGGUUCGAGUCCUCAGCACCA